Molecule: ribosomal RNA, 248 nt
Filed under: uncultured bacterium
Lineage: Bacteria
Description: partial 16S ribosomal RNA
Rfam family: Bacterial small subunit ribosomal RNA
Source: RNAcentral
UGGAUGGCGACCGGCGCACGGGUGAGUAACACGUAUCCAACCUGCCGACAACACUGGGAUAGCCUUUCGAAAGAAAGAUUAAUGCCGGAUGGCAUAGUUUUCCCGCAUGGGAUAAUUAUUAAAGAAUUUCGGUUGUCGAUGGGGAUGCGUUCCAUUAGGCAGUUGGCGGGGUAACGGCCCACCAAACCAACGAUGGAUAGGGGUUCUGAGAGGAAGGUCCCCCACAUUGGAACUGAGACACGGUCCAA